CAGCCGCCACGGGAAUACGAAGGGUGCAAGCGUUACUCGGAAUUACUGGGCGUAAAGCGUGCGUAGGUGGUGGUUUAAGUCCGUUGUGAAAGCCCUGGGCUCAACCUGGGAAUUGCAGUGGAUACUGGGUCACUAGAGUGUGGUAGAGGAUAGUGGAAUUUCCGGUGUAGCAGUGAAAUGCGUAGAGAUCGGAAGGAACAUCUGUGGCGAAGGCGACUAUCUGGGCCAACACUGACACUGUGGCACGAAAGCGUGGGGAGCAAACAGGAUUAGAUACCCCGGUAGUCCCUGUCUCUUAUAC
This 301-nucleotide ribosomal RNA is filed under the name uncultured bacterium. RNAcentral's name for it is "partial 16S ribosomal RNA". It matches the Rfam family "Bacterial small subunit ribosomal RNA", at positions 509 to 807 of the family's 1533-position model. The record is from RNAcentral.